RNAcentral lists this ribosomal RNA (433 nucleotides) under uncultured Glomeromycotina. Its description in RNAcentral is "SSU rRNA". It matches the Rfam family "Eukaryotic small subunit ribosomal RNA", at positions 641 to 1075 of the family's 1831-position model. The record is from RNAcentral. Lineage: Eukaryota; Fungi; Glomeromycota.
UCGGGAUCAGUACGCUGGUCAUGCCUUUGGUAUGCACUGGUGUCACUGGUUUCUCCCUUCUGAAGAACCGUGAUGUCAUUAAUUUGGUGUCGCGGGGAAUCAGGACUGUUACUUUGAAAAAAUUAGAGUGUUUAAAGCAGGCUCACGCUUGAAUACAUUAGCAUGGAAUAAUGAAAUAGGACGUUUGACCCUAUUUUGUUGGUUUCUAGGAUCGACGUAAUGAUUAAUAGGGAUAGUUGGGGGCAUUAGUAUUCAAUUGUCAGAGGUGAAAUUCUUGGAUUUAUUGAAGACUAACUACUGCGAAAGCAUUUGCCAAGGAUGUUUUCAUUAAUCAAGAACGAAAGUUAGGGGAUCGAAGACGAUCAGAUACCGUCGUAGUCUUAACCAUAAACUAUGCCGACUAGGGAUCGGAUGAUGUUAAUUUUAUAAUGAC